RNAcentral lists this ribosomal RNA (432 nucleotides) under uncultured bacterium. RNAcentral describes it as "partial 16S ribosomal RNA". It matches the Rfam family "Bacterial small subunit ribosomal RNA", at positions 338 to 795 of the family's 1533-position model. The record is from RNAcentral.
CCUACGGGGGGCUGCAGUCGAGAAUUUUUCUCAAUGGGGGAAACCCUGAAGGAGCGACGCCGCGUGGAGGAUGAAGGUCUUCGGAUUGUAAACUCCUGUCAUUUGGGAACUAGUACCAGAAGAGGAAGAGACGGCUAACUCUGUGCCAGCAGCCGCGGUAAUACAGAGGUCUCAAGCGUUGUUCGGAUUCAUUGGGCGUAAAGGGUGCGUAGGUGGCGGGGUUAGUCAGGUGUGAAAUCUCGGAGCUCAACUCCGAAACUGCACUUGAUACUGCCUUGCUAGAGUACUGGAGAGGAGAUUGGAAUUUACGGUGUAGCAGUGAAAUGCGUAGAUAUCGUAAGGAAGACCAGUGGCGAAGGCGAAUCUCUGGACAGUACUGACACUGAGGCACGAAGGCCAGGGGAGCAAACGGGAUUAGAUACCCUUGUAGUC